RNAcentral lists this ribosomal RNA (371 nucleotides) under Arcuphantes tsushimanus. RNAcentral describes it as "partial 16S ribosomal RNA". The record is from RNAcentral. Lineage: Eukaryota; Metazoa; Arthropoda; Arachnida; Araneae; Linyphiidae.
AUGAAUAUUUAAAUAGCCGCAGAAUUUUAACUGUGCUAAGGUAGCAUAAUCAUUUACCUUUUAAUUAAAGGUUUGUAUGAAAGAUUUAACAUUUAAAUUAUUUUUUUAUUAAUUUAUAUUUAAAUUUGAUUAAAAAUAAAAAUAUUUUUAUAAUAUAAAAAGACGACAAGACCCUAUUGAACUUAACUUAAGUUAAGCUGGGGCAGCUAAUUAAACAUAAUUUUAAUAUAUUAUAUUAAAUAAAUUUCUGGAUACCCAAAAUGAUCAAGUUACCAUAGGGAUAACAGCGUAAUAAUUUUUAAAAGUUCUUAUCUAAAAAAUAGAUUACGACCUCGAUGUUGAAUUAAAUUUUACUUUAAAACGCAAUAGUA